This 468-nucleotide ribosomal RNA is filed under the name uncultured bacterium. RNAcentral describes it as "partial 16S ribosomal RNA". It matches the Rfam family "Bacterial small subunit ribosomal RNA", at positions 28 to 507 of the family's 1533-position model. The record is from RNAcentral.
GAUGAACGCUGGCGGCGUGCUUAACACAUGCAAGUCGAACGGAAAGGCCCAAGCUUGCUUGGGUACUCGAGUGGCGAACGGGUGAGUAACACGUGGGUGAUCUGCCCUGCACUUCGGGAUAAGCCUGGGAAACUGGGUCUAAUACCGGAUAGGACCACUUCUUGGAUGUUGUGGUGGAAAGUUUUUCGGUGUGGGAUGAGCUCGCGGCCUAUCAGCUUGUUGGUGGGGUAAUGGCCUACCAAGGCGUCGACGGGUAGCCGGCCUGAGAGGGUGUACGGCCACAUUGGGACUGAGAUACGGCCCAGACUCCUACGGGAGGCAGCAGUGGGGAAUAUUGCACAAUGGGCGCAAGCCUGAUGCAGCGACGCCGCGUGGGGGAUGACGGCCUUCGGGUUGUAAACUCCUUUCGCUGGGGACGAAGCUUAUUUUGUGACGGUACCUGGAGAAGAAGCACCGGCUAACUACGUG